Molecule: non-coding RNA, 239 nt
Organism: Linepithema humile (Argentine ant)
Lineage: Eukaryota; Metazoa; Arthropoda; Insecta; Hymenoptera; Formicidae
Source: RefSeq, a predicted model, not a curated record
CACAUGAUGGGAUCAUUUAAAACUGAUUGAACUGCAAAAAUUUUGUAUCUUGAUUAAGAUACAUAAAAUAUUAUGUAUCUGCAUUCAUCUGCUGUGGUCUAUUGUUAAUGUAGUCAAGAACCUUGUUUAAAGCAACUAAUUUUUGCUCUGGAAAAGUGCCAUGAAAAGAUUUAAACGAGACGAAAUACAAACUCAACUAAAAUACAUAUACUAAACACAAACUCUCUAUACGAAAUAUA